RNAcentral lists this ribosomal RNA (422 nucleotides) under uncultured bacterium. Its description in RNAcentral is "bacterial SSU rRNA". It matches the Rfam family "Bacterial small subunit ribosomal RNA", at positions 355 to 774 of the family's 1533-position model. The record is from RNAcentral.
UAAGGAAUAUUGGACAAUGGAGGCAACUCUGAUCCAGCCAUGCCGCGUGAAGGAAUAAGGCCCUAUGGGUUGUGAACUUCUUUUAGACGGGACAAAACCCCUUUACGUGUAAAGGGUUGAUGGUACUGUCAGAAUAAGCAUCGGCUAACUUCGUGCAAGCAGCCGCGGUAAUACGAAGGAUGCAAGCGUUAUCCGGAAUUAUUGGGUUUAAAGGGUGCGUAGGCGGACUAAUAAGUCAGUGGUGAAAGCCUGCAGCUUAACUGCAGAAUUGCCAUUGAUACUGUUAGCCUUGAGUACAGUUGAGGUAGGCGGAAUGUGUCAUGUAGCGGUGAAAUGCUUAGAUAUGACACAGAACACCGAUUGCGAAGGCAGCUUGCUAGGCUGUAACUGACGCUGAGGCACGAAAGCGUGGGGAGCAAACA